Maniola jurtina (meadow brown) is the source of this 184-nucleotide long non-coding RNA. RefSeq lists it as uncharacterized. The transcript is spliced from 3 exons. The record is from RefSeq and is a predicted model, not a curated record. Lineage: Eukaryota; Metazoa; Arthropoda; Insecta; Lepidoptera; Nymphalidae.
AACUAACAUCUGUUAGUAACUAAAACCUAAGAAUCGCAAUCUCGUUCUCUUAGUGAGUUGUAUGUGGAAGAAUCUGUGAACCCACCGCAUUAUUAUCCUAAGAGAACUCCUGCCUUUAUGUGAUUAAUGGAAAGGAGUAACGACCCUCAGCAAUGAGGUAUACGGCCAUUACGACUAUUAAGAA